This 429-nucleotide ribosomal RNA is filed under the name Chloroflexota bacterium. RNAcentral describes it as "Chloroflexi bacterium partial 16S ribosomal RNA". It matches the Rfam family "Bacterial small subunit ribosomal RNA", at positions 355 to 776 of the family's 1533-position model. The record is from RNAcentral. Lineage: Bacteria; Bacillati; Chloroflexota.
UGGAGAAUAUUGCACAAUGGGCGCAAGGCUGAUGCAGCCAUGCCGCGUGUGUGAAGAAGGCCUUCGGGUUGUAAAGCACUUUCAGCGGGGAGGAAGGCGUUAAGGUUAAUAACCUUGGCGAUUGACGUUACCCGCAGAAGAAGCACCGGCUAACUCCGUGCCAGCAGCCGCGGUAAUACGGAGGGUGCAAGCGUUAAUCGGAAUUACUGGGCGUAAAGCGCACGCAGGCGGUCUGUCAAGUCGGAUGUGAAAUCCCCGGGCUCAACCUGGGAACUGCAUUCGAAACUGGCAGGCUAGAGUCUUGUAGAGGGGGGUAGAAUUCCAGGUGUAGCGGUGAAAUGCGUAGAGAUCUGGAGGAAUACCGGUGGCGAAGGCGGCCCCCUGGACAAAGACUGACGCUCAGGUGCGAAAGCGUGGGGAGCAAACAGG